Molecule: ribosomal RNA, 483 nt
Filed under: Triticum aestivum (bread wheat)
Lineage: Eukaryota; Viridiplantae; Streptophyta; Magnoliopsida; Poales; Poaceae
Description: partial small subunit ribosomal RNA
Source: RNAcentral
CAGGUCUCUGAUUCUGUACACACAAACAGUGAAAUAGUCUAAUGUGUCAGGAUCAUCAAAAAGCUUCCUCUCCUUCUUCUCACGGCGCUCAGAUGGCGUGAGUUUGCGGGCGAUGUUGCGGUCGACAUGAGCCUGCUCGCGCUCUGCAGCAGCCGCUCGUAUUUCCAUCUCCAUGCGUGUCGGGUCCUGUGUAGCUUGUGCACCAAGUACUUCCAUAAGGUUACUCAUCUUGAGCUUGGGCUUUGGUGGCUCCAAGAGGCCUUUCCUAAUCAUUUCUUGCCUAUCUUUUUUCGUAGCGAGGCGCCUCUGUGUUCUGUACUUCUUCUGCUCAUUGUUAGUAAGCUUAAGUGGUUGAGGCGGUGGUGUCAUGGGCUUAGCCGGUGGUUCCAAUGGCUCUGGAUGUUGCACGUAGAUGGUGAUCUUAUCCAUAUUAAGCUUUUCCAAGGAGAUGUCCUCGUACGUGGCAGAAAUCAGGAUUUUUGA